UUAAAUAGCCAUCGAAAUAGAAACCUUGUAACCUGGUCAGGACAGAAAUGAAGCAGCCACAUCGAGAAGUGCUAUGUUCGGUGGUUUUUUAUUUAUU
This 97-nucleotide signal recognition particle RNA is filed under the name Mesomycoplasma lagogenitalium. RNAcentral's name for it is "signal recognition particle sRNA small type". The stretch from base 6 to 90 matches the Rfam family "Bacterial small signal recognition particle RNA". Rfam says of the family: The signal recognition particle (SRP) is a universally conserved ribonucleoprotein involved in the co-translational targeting of proteins to membranes. Archaeal SRP consists of a 7S RNA and homologues of the eukaryotic SRP19 and SRP54 proteins. In most bacteria, the SRP consists of a 4.5S RNA and the Ffh protein (a homologue of the eukaryotic SRP54 protein). Lineage: Bacteria; Bacillati; Mycoplasmatota; Mycoplasmoidales; Metamycoplasmataceae. The record is from RNAcentral.